This 779-nucleotide ribosomal RNA is filed under the name uncultured Neisseria sp. RNAcentral's name for it is "bacterial SSU rRNA". It matches the Rfam family "Bacterial small subunit ribosomal RNA", at positions 732 to 1512 of the family's 1533-position model. Lineage: Bacteria; Pseudomonadati; Pseudomonadota; Betaproteobacteria; Neisseriales; Neisseriaceae. The record is from RNAcentral.
GGAUAACACUGACGUUCAUGCCCGAAAGCGUGGGUAGCAAACAGGAUUAGAUACCCUGGUAGUCCACGUCCUAAACGAUGUCGAUUAGCUGUUGGGCAGCAUGACUGCUUAGUAGCGAAGCUAACGCGUGAAAUCGACCGCCUGGGGAGUACGGUCGCAAGAUUAAAACUCAAAGGAAUUGACGGGGACCCGCACAAGCGGUGGAUGAUGUGGAUUAAUUCGAUGCAACGCGAAGAACCUUACCUGGUCUUGACAUGUACGGAACCCUCCAGAGACGGAGGGGUGCCUUCGGAAGCCGUAACACAGGUGCUGCAUGGCUGUCGUCAGCUCGUGUCGUGAGAUGUUGGGUUAAGUCCCGCAACGAGCGCAACCCUUGUCAUUAGUUGCCAUCAUUAAGUUGGGCACUCUAAUGAGACUGCCGGUGACAAGCCGGAGGAAGGUGGGGAUGACGUCAAGUCCUCAUGGCCCUUAUGACCAGGGCUUCACACGUCAUACAAUGGUCGGUACAGAGGGUAGCCAAGCCGCGAGGUGGAGCCAAUCUCACAAAACCGAUCGUAGUCCGGAUUGCACUCUGCAACUCGAGUGCAUGAAGUCGGAAUCGCUAGUAAUCGCAGGUCAGCAUACUGCGGUGAAUACGUUCCCGGGUCUUGUACACACCGCCCGUCACACCAUGGGAGUGGGGGAUACCAGAAGUAGGUAGGGUAACCGCAAGGAGCCCGCUUACCACGGUAUGCUUCAUGACUGGGGUGAAGUCGUAACAAGGUAGCCGUAGGGGAACC